CACUCACGUGGUGGAGAGGCGGGGCAAUAGUUGGAGAUGAUUGGUUCUGAGAAUUGGCUGUGAAAGCGGCAUUGCUGACCAGUGAGAGAGACCUAAUGAGGAGCAGGCCGGGGCAACCAAUGAAAUCGGAGAAGAGCGCUUGGGGGCGUGUCCGCCUGCUUUCAGCCUUUGGCAAGUUGGUGGGAGGUGAAAGUGACUUGGCCUCUUAAAAGCGUUUUUUUCACCUAAAAUCAGUCAUCUUCCUGCGAAGGCAUGAGGAGGAAAAGAGAGGAAGUAACUGAGCGAUAAUAUGCUGUAUGAGCCUCCUGCUCUGCUGCCCAUUACCUGCGUCACCUCCACAAGCUACUGAACCUCAAGGAACCCAUCUCCUCAUCAGGAAAAAAAAUAAGCUUUAUGUAG
RNAcentral lists this long non-coding RNA (399 nucleotides) under Homo sapiens (human). RNAcentral describes it as "HSALNT0362893". The record is from RNAcentral. Lineage: Eukaryota; Metazoa; Chordata; Mammalia; Primates; Hominidae.